UUUAUGGAGAGUUUGAUCCUGGCUCAGGAUGAACGCUGGCGGCGUGCCUAAUACAUGCAAGUCGAGCGAACAGAUAAGGAGCUUGCUCCUUUGACGUUAGCGGCGGACGGGUGAGUAACACGUGGGUAACCUACCUAUAAGACUGGAAUAACUCCGGGAAACCGGGGCUAAUGCCGGAUAACAUGUUGAACCGCAUGGUUCUACAGUGAAAGACGGUCUUGCUGUCACUUAUAGAUGGACCCGCGCCGUAUUAGCUAGUUGGUGGGGUAACGGCCUACCAAGGCGACGAUACGUAGCCGACCUGAGAGGGUGAUCGGCCACACUGGAACUGAGACACGGUCCAGACUCCUACGGGAGGCAGCAGUAGGGAAUCUUCCGCAAUGGGCGAAAGCCUGACGGAGCAACGCCGCGUGAGUGAUGAAGGUCUUCGGAUCGUAAAGCUCUGUUGUUAGGGAAGAACAAAUGUGUAAGUAACUGUGCACAUCUUGACGGUACCUAACCAGAAAGCCACGGCUAACUACGUGCCAGCAGCCGCGGUAAUACGUAGGUGGCAAGCGUUAUCCGGAAUUAUUGGGCGUAAAGCGCGCGUAGGCGGUUUUUUAAGUCUGAUGUGAAAGCCCACGGCUCAACCGUGGAGGGUCAUUGGAAACUGGAAAGCUUGUGCAGAAGAGGAAAGUGGAAUUCCAUGUGUAGCGGUGAAAUGCGCAGAGAUAUGGAGGAACACCAGUGGCGAAGGCGGCUUUCUGGUCUGCAACUGACGCUGAUGUGCGAAAGCGUGGGGAUCAAACAGGAUUAGAUACCNUGGUAGUCACCGCCGUAAACGAUGWGUGCUAAGUGUUAGGGGGUUUCYGCCCSUUAGGGCUGCACCKACACGCAUUAAGCACUCCGCCUGGGGAGUACGGUCGCAAGACUGAAACUCAAAGGAUGACGGGGACCCGCACAAGCGGUGGAGCAUGUGGUUUAAUUCGAAGCAACCCGAAGAACCUUACCAAACUUGACAUCCUUUGACCGCUCUAGAGAUAGAGUUUUCCUCUUCGGAGGACAAAGYGACACGUGGGGYAWGGUGGUGGCCUGSGCGUGUCGYGAGAUGUUKUGUUUAGUACCUCAACCASCGAACCCCUUGMGAGUUAGUAGCCAUCAUKCMGGUGGGCAYUCUAAGUKGACUGCCGGYCACCRGAGKAACGGAGGGAYGMCGAGAUWCCMUCAGGMYSSUUGGRAAUUGKUCAUAAAACGUAAAAGAAUGARCAAGCCAAAGGGCGAGRAAWCCGAGASGUSAAGSAAMGCCAAAAGRAGUUGUUGAUCGUUCGGUUUGGMAUSUGCAACYCGACUCCAWRCAGCUGAAAKCGCCAGCAAGGGUAAAACAGYAUUCUCCGGCUGAGUACGUUCCCGGACGGGGAGGUUUGGCACCUCGAUGUCGGCUCAUCGCAUCCUGG
Staphylococcus pseudintermedius is the source of this 1433-nucleotide non-coding RNA. The record is from Rfam. NCBI's taxonomy places the organism in Bacteria, Bacillati, Bacillota, Bacilli, Caryophanales, Staphylococcaceae.